UGUAUUGUUAGACUAUCACGCCAAUAUGUUACAAUUCCCUAUAUCCAAUAUGCCAAACAUGUUAAGACUUUCAAAACAUAUUCUAGGGGUGUCACAAUGUCAAAACUCCCACAUCUUUAAGCCAUAUAAUUAUGAUUAUUAUGAGAGCACAUCAACACAAAUAGUGUUAUGUAGUAAUAAUACACUUUUUCUAAACACCUUCGGCGCUUAUGCAGAUACAUUCAAACUCAUCGAUUGUCAUCAACAAGAUGUAAUUUACAUGGAACAUCAUUAUAAGCCAAUUGCUGGAUACAAUGCUUUCCACUUGGCUUGCUUUCUCCCAACAAACCUAAAAGAGAAACUUUUCACUAAAGAACUAACCUUAUACUUAGCAGGAAGAAAAAGGAACUCCUGCUUCAGUUUAUCUAGUGUGGAAUAUUUAGAUGCUUCUUCAAUCUUAAUAGGAUUUCUCAAACAAUCCCAACAAAAAACAUUUUUUAUGCAAAGUUUCUUUCUUAUAAGGAAUUAGAGGAGAAAAGUUAUAUAUCGUAUUCUGGAAUAUCACAAUUUAAGAUUCCCACCAUACCCAACUAAGUACUUCAACAAUAAAGGCAAUCAAAACGGUAUUUUCAUAAUUCGGUGAAGCAAUAAUCGGGUAAAGUAAUUGAAGAUAGAGUUCUUACCGGUUCUUCUCCAAUCAGCAGCAAUACGAUGCAACAAGGAGGACGCAACAGAGAAGGAGCUCGUUCAAGAAUAGCUGAUAAUAAAAA
RNAcentral lists this long non-coding RNA (749 nucleotides) under Nicotiana tabacum (common tobacco). RNAcentral's name for it is "long non-coding RNA (NTAB_LNC007935)". The record is from RNAcentral. Lineage: Eukaryota; Viridiplantae; Streptophyta; Magnoliopsida; Solanales; Solanaceae.